RNAcentral lists this long non-coding RNA (1067 nucleotides) under Parus major (Great Tit). Its description in RNAcentral is "lncRNA (ENSPMJG00000004911.1)". The record is from RNAcentral. Lineage: Eukaryota; Metazoa; Chordata; Aves; Passeriformes; Paridae.
UGAAGAUGUCUGUAGAUAAAUUCAGAAAAGUUUAAUAAUUUCAUUAGGAAACUAACGGAAAAGGGAAUUUUUUAAAAUUUAAUGUUGGAAGGUAUGGCUAAGGAAGAGAAGGAGGGAGACAGGGUAGGCUGUUUUCAUGGUGCCAGAUCUGAAAGCACAUUUUAAGUCUGAGACUGGGAGAGGGACAGGAAAGUUUCAUAAUACAUGCUGAAGCUAAUGAGUUAAUUAGGAACAACUGAGUUAUUUUUGUUAACCACUGCAAGCCUCAUAAUUUUUAAACUCUGAAGUACUAGCAACUGUUGGCUGGUAUCUGGAAGAGUACUUUGUACCUGAACAGAUAAGAGAACAUUACUUUUCCAAAGUCCAGUUUGUGAUACUGACCAAGCAAAACUGAACCCCCAAACAGUCUUAAUGGAGCCUAUAUGUCCAUAUGGUGUUCUGCUGCUUUUCCUCAUCAAGUGGUAAAUAAGCUUCAAGAUCCAAGUUCGUUCUGGGAAGCUUGCUGUAUUAAAAUCAAGUCAUAUUCCAGGCCAGACAGCACCUCCAUCAGCUGUUGAGGGGCUUCUUCUAAAGAAUGGCUGGUCUCUGAUCACUUCCUUCAGGAUCUGCUGCAAGUGUCUCUUCUCUGGAGCUGUCUUCACAACUUCUUCAAAAGGGAAUGUCCCACAUGGGGAUUUAGUUUCAUACUUGGUGUUGCCCAACACUGAAUCAGUGGGUAAUAAAGAAGUGGAUGACUUUCUUUUCCAAUCUGCAGAACACAAGUCUCUAAAAAAUACUACAUUUCUCUAUUUUUGUUUUAAUUUUGACAAACAUAUACACAUAGAUACCCUCCUGACUACGGCCUAAAAUUAAGGAGAUACAUAUAUCUGAAGGUUAUUAGGAUUAUACAUCAUGCAGCACAGGACACUAGUGCCACAUCCUUCACUUAAAUUACCAUAUGACCAAAUUUCAAUCUAAGAACACCCAUUUUCAAAUUUAUUUGCAUAACUUAAAUUAUUUUGGUGUAAUCAGACACUGAGAGUUUGCUGGAUAUACACCAAAUAAAGCCAACCUUUAUCCUAGUGCCA